Molecule: microRNA precursor, 76 nt
Filed under: Aotus nancymaae (Ma's night monkey)
Lineage: Eukaryota; Metazoa; Chordata; Mammalia; Primates; Aotidae
Description: miRNA (ENSANAG00000009375.1)
Source: RNAcentral
AGGUGGGAGGAUCGCUUGAGCCUGGGAGGUGGAGGUUGCAGUGAGCUGAGAUCACGCCACUGCACUGCAGCCUGGG